Molecule: non-coding RNA, 27 nt
Filed under: Mus musculus (house mouse)
Lineage: Eukaryota; Metazoa; Chordata; Mammalia; Rodentia; Muridae
Source: RNAcentral
UGACAAGAAAAGAAGCCCGUGACAUUG